AUUCAACGAGGAGGAGCAAGGGGCAACAUCUUGUCCUAACAAAUGGUCGGUGCUAAGGAAAUCGUCAUAAAUUUGGAAAGCUAUAUUGCAUUUUUUAAAGAAAAACUCGACAUAUUGCGAGCAGGUUGAUUAAGUACAAUAAUUGUAAUCAAAAACUUUAAGCGGGUGUUGACCUUUCACCCACAUUUUCUGGUAGUACUGUUGCGUGUUUGUUAGCUAGGCUAACUAAGGCCCUAUCUGCAACAUGAGCUAUGGUAGGCCCCCGCCCGAUGUUGAGGGCAUGACUUCUCUUAAAGUGGAUAAUCUGACGUACCGAACCUCACCUGAGACCCUUCGCCGUGUCUUUGAAAAGUAUGGUAGGGUAGGAGAUGUUUACAUCCCCCGAGAUCGUUAUACGAAAGAGAGCAGAGGGUUCUCCUUUGUGCGAUUCCAUGACAAGCGGGACGCAGAGGAUGCGAUGGACGCAAUGGAUGGUGCCGUGCUGGACGGACGCGAGUUAAGAGUCCAGAUGGCCCGUUACGGACGUCCCCCAGAUUCGCAUCAUGGAGGCGGUGGUGACCGUGGUGAUCGUGGUGACCGUCGGCGUGGAGGUGCACCCCGGAGUCCAAGGCGUCGGAGACGCAGCAGAUCCCGGAGCAGAAGCCGAUCUCGUUCCCGCAGCCGCUCCCGCAACAGCCGAUCAAGGUCUCGUUCCUACUCUCGCUCCAAGUCUCGCUCCCCUAAGAGAGACAAGGCCAAGUCCCCGUCCAGGUCCCGCUCCAGAUCCAAGUCUCCUAAGUCAAAGUCCCGUUCCAGGAGCCACACGCCUGCAGAAAGAGCCUCAAGAUCAAGAUCCAAGAGUCAGCCCAAGUCACCUGGAGAGAAUGGAGCUGAAACCCCAUAGAUGACUGACAAACUGGUAAGUGUUGUAAAUUGUUUGAGGUGAAGGCUAGCAUUACACUAGAUUGUAUGACUAGCAUGGGGAGGAUGUGAUGCGGGGAUAUUAUGUGUGGGAUGGAUUUGCACUACGUCUCCCUUUUCCAUGGUUAUCUGUGGUUAAAUAGAAUGGGGUUGGUUGUGGGAUGUCUUGACAAUGUGAACUACUUUAAGUCUUUCCACCUCAAAGUGGUUAUGCAUAUUACUGUAACACUGGGCAUGGCAAAGAGGAAUGAAAAACUGUCCCGUAUGGUGGUUGCCUGAAACCCACAUUUGAUGGAUUUUGGGGACUAUUCCUUUGUCACAAUUUUGUUCUGUCCUGCCCAAUGUUCCAGUUCAUUAUCAGUGUAGAGGAAAUUUAGGUCCAUUCUUGCAUUGUACAUAUGUGGCAUUUGAGAAUACAUUUUUUACAAAAAAUAAAAUGUUCAUAAAACAAAUCUGGAAUUCUCUCCUCCAAGCUGCGGAAUCCUGUUUGCAAAAGAGGAGUUUGAGGCAGUAUGAGCAGUUAGUGAGCUGGGUGUGUGAGCUGUCCGGGCACCUGCUGCUGUGGGGGUUGCUAUGGAGCAGGCCGGUUGCAGGUUGCAGUCAGUGUUGGGGUGGUGUUGAGGUACGUCUGCAGGACAAUGGACAGAAGCCUUGCAUUGUCCUCCAGGUCAUGCUCUCUGCUUUUUGGGGGCAAAGACUUGUGCUCAGGAGGGAACCAAGGUUUGUCUAACUGGUUUCUCAUGACAAGAUUUCUCAUUUUUGUGAAGCCCGGGCGUCUCUUGACGUUUGGUUCCUUCCUUGAACCAAAUAAUUUCAACCAUCAGAAACGGGUUUGCAUAGCUUUUGAUUUGGCUCUUUCUUUCAAAUGUAGACUAGUUUCCUACUAAUAUGGGAGAAAUGUGCUAUGCACAUGAAGUUGGCAUUACAUUGCCAGCUGAUUACACCAUACAUAUGGCCUGGAGGUGUCUCCAUGUCUAUCUGAAGGGAGGGGUGUGGUAAAGUUAACAAGUCAUCGCCACUUCAUUACUAGAGGUUGAAAAUAACUCAAUUUUGUUUGUUUUCCAACACCAGUUUCUUACAUCCUUGUCUUUCAAACAUUUUUCAGAUGAGAUGCCAAUGAGGACGUCACACUUCAGACUGAGGACCCUGUCAUACAAUGAUUUCUGUGUAAAAGGCGCAGUUGUGUAGCAGUUGAGUAUUGCUGGUUAGCUGUUAAGGUGGCGUGUUGCAGUGCUUGGCUGUUUCCAGUGUUCUCCGGAAUGCCCCUGUGGCUACAAUGCUGUGAUGGUGGCCAACUUAAAUGGCUGCUACAAAUUCACCAUCGGUAGAAUGCCUGUCUUUCAACAAGUUAAAAAUUCUCUAAUUCAGAGCACUAAGUAUGUUGUGCUAAUUAUGUUUAAUGCAUUCUGUCUUGCCCUUUGUGCAUUCCUUUUCCCCCUUGCAAGAGUCUGUAUAGGUGUCCAAUGUGAAAGCUAAUAAAAAUUGUCUUC
RNA transcript from Oncorhynchus kisutch (coho salmon), 2390 nucleotides. It is a transcript of the gene named serine/arginine-rich splicing factor 2-like, with no coding region annotated. Lineage: Eukaryota; Metazoa; Chordata; Actinopteri; Salmoniformes; Salmonidae. The record is from RefSeq and is a predicted model, not a curated record. The transcript has 3 exons.